AACUCGUCGGACCCCGCCAAGACAGAGGUGGGACGGGCCCUACUGGCAAACGUAGGCAACCGCCGCCGGGAAGCCGCCGGCCGAGCCCGUGGCCGAGCCUGCCGCGCCGCCUCCAAGAACACCCCCAGCUGAGGCCGUGCGAGGGAGACCGGGAGCUCCACCAGGUCACCAUCCUCUGCCCAGUCGGCCCAGGCCUUCGGCGAGCGCCUGAAGGAGAGGGUGGGAACCCGGUGAACGCCG
Molecule: long non-coding RNA, 240 nt
Filed under: Hordeum vulgare
Lineage: Eukaryota; Viridiplantae; Streptophyta; Magnoliopsida; Poales; Poaceae
Description: long non-coding RNA (HVUL_LNC007244)
Source: RNAcentral